Molecule: long non-coding RNA, 5091 nt
Organism: Eucalyptus grandis
Lineage: Eukaryota; Viridiplantae; Streptophyta; Magnoliopsida; Myrtales; Myrtaceae
Exons: 2
Source: RefSeq, a predicted model, not a curated record
UUCUGCCUUUCUAUGUUCUAACGUUGUUUGGUCAAGGGAGGACAAGUGAAAAUUCUUUGAUCAAAAGUGGUGGCAGUCAUUUUCAUAAAGUGUUGUUUCAGAUUACUGGUAGUUGUGAUCUUUCAUGAAGCUUUCUUUGGGUUUUUGCCUGCAACUGUGUAUGUUUGUUUGAUGAUCAAGGAAGUUAUGUGUCCAUGGAUUCUGAAUUGUUGUAGGACAGGCGGGUAACUAACUUCUCAUAGGAUUGAUAUGGUUUGCCGCAUAUUGUAGCAUAACUUAGCUGCAAUGAAACUAAAAAAGAAUGAAAAAAAAAAAGAAGUGGCUGGUUCCCGGUGGAACCUGAAACCAGCUUGAAACUGGCAGGUUCGGUUUCAAAGUCGGUUCUAGGGUCCACAAGGGUUGGUUCCCAGUUUCAAGAAUUGGGAACGAGCCCCGAUAGGAUAGGUUCUAGGUUCUGGACCGAUUUGCUGUUAAAAUUGAGAAUGAACCUGAGUUUGAUCAGGAGGUAAACUCAAUGAGUGGAAGGAUUUUUCCACUUCACAGGAUGGUGCAGCAAAAGAGAAAGAGAAGAGAAAGGAGAAGAAAAUGUGGAAGAGGAGGAAGGAAAAAGAGGCAGAACUGAGCAAAAUGUCAACAAAAUCCCAAUUAAUGUUUCAAAAGUGGCUGAAUUACACGGAAAUAUUAUGAAGGAUUUUUUCAGUGUUGAUAUGGAUAUUUAAUUUAACAUCACCUUUGGCCACCAACAGCUUUGACAAAGGAUUUACAUCAUUGAAUGCCUAUUUACUUUCACAGCAUUUCUUUUUGAAUGCUCAUAACACAUUCUUCUCAUUGUCACCUUGCUUAACACAAGUUGAGGAAAAUUACUCUAUAAUAUUUUCAUGCAAUUUGGCCAUGUGAAACAUUUUGUGAUUUUGUUGGGCAUAUCGCAUUUUUUCUCAGCUUUGGCCUCUUUUUUGUUCCUCCUCCUCCUUUUCUUCUCCUUUGCCUUUCUCGACAUGGUCAAACAGUUUGUCUCCUCAGCUUUUGCAUGGUGCCUAUGCAAAUUCCGGAUAUAUCGUUGAAGAGGGCUAGUGUUGAACCUUCCCAAAAGAAGCUAUCUGAACGGACUCCUGGCAGAGAUAAUUCCAUAUAAUAGCCAGCCAUGUAAAGCAGACUUAAUUGUGCUGAGGAAAGCAGGUAAAGAGUUGAGAAUUGGUGAAAGGUAGUUGAUGUUUCUUAUGUAAUCUAAGAACAUUGUUCUAACUUGUCAUCCACUUUUCUUACAGUAUUCAAAAGGCCCUUUGUUGAUGAUUUUUCACUGUUUUGCUCUGAGAAAUUGGCUGUGGGGGUUUGGGGCCACGUAUGUUGUUCAAUCUGACCUGCAGUCUCCUCCUUUCUUGCACUUUCUUUCACACCAUCACAAGACUCUUUUCUGUGUGCACAUGCGUGUGUAUGUGCAUGGUUGUUAGGAUCACGAUCAUUCGUUCCAACGACUCAAAAACUUUGAACAAUUUGGAUUCUAAGAAAAAUGGUAGUCUGUGGGGGUUGUGAUCUGUAUCUUAGGAUGGCCAUCCCAACUACGAUUCCACUAUUCAAGCUUUAGAAGGCAAUUCUGCCUUUUUAGCUGGAGCAAAUAUGAAAUUGGGCCUCCGUUGCCUAGCACAUGUGCCACUUUCUUCUUAAUCAUGUUCAGGCUCCAUUUGGAAAAUAUAAGGCUUGGAGAAUUAAGAAAAAGGGAUGAAGAUGAAUGAACAGUAGAAAGCAAAGAAGUGCAGAGACACCAUUUCUUCAUCUUCUUCAGUCUUGAAUAAAUUAUGAGAUGGGCAUUGACCACUGUUGGCUUUUUGAACUGUGCCGUCCUUUGGAGAUGAGAGAGACAAAGCUCUGUCCUUCUGCAACCAGAUGAGAGAGACCUCUAACAUCCUUGAGAAAUUGGUGCACGAUUUGACUUGGCCUAGUAGCAUAAUAUCUUUGGAUGUAUAUUGAUUAGAACUUACCUUAAACUUUAAACAGUUGAAAAACCUAGAAUAGCCAGUGAAAGUGAGGUUCGUUAGAGAGAUGUGGUGGGGGUGUUAAAUUGGAGUGUGUGUCCCAGAUUGAGGUAAAUAAUAUUUUAUCCUUUGAAAUAAAGAAAGAGACAGUAUGUAUUCCGAGAGAGAGAAGGACAAAAUAAAGGAUUAGAAAUUAGGAAAAGGCAGGAAAGUAAUUUCUUGGCAGUCUUGUUCUUGAUUAUUAUGGUGAUUAUUUUAUUGUGAUCCUAUUUAAUACACCUUAAAAACUUGGGCGAGGAGAUUUUAUGCUUUUCCAUCUUUGACAUGGUGCUUUAAUUGUUAGUUGAAAAACUGGCAACCAAAAAUUUAAACCAGAGUAAUCUCUCACAUGAGAAUGCUACCUUUAAGCUUCACUAUCCCUCUUUUUAAGGUUAAUAUGCAUCUAAUUGCAAUGAUUUAAGCAAGAAUUUAGCACUUCAAAUAUGUAGGAUCUUAUGAUCUUGAUCUGAUCUCGAAGACUUCGAAAGGAUCCUACUUAGCAUCUUGAUCCUGAUAACCUUUUUGUGUGUGCGUGUGUGACAAAGGUUGCCCAGCUUUAAUAUUUAUUGUUAAUUUAUUUGGUCUUAGUUAUUCAUUUGACAGGAGAAAUAUGGAUCCAGUUGUAAAAUUUCUAAUGGGUGACUCCAGAGUGAAACUGCUUUUCUAUUGGUAAGCAGCUUUCACAUGGAGGUUUUCUUCUCUAUGUCAGUGGUCAUCUUGUCCCUGUGCUCAUAUUGCAUGGAUGGAGACUGACUGCAGAACAUUAAGAAAGUGUAAGGGCAAUUUUACAGUUUCCUCAUCAAUUUGGUGUAAGAUUGAUCUCUGAAGCGUAAUGGGCCCAAGAGUCUUGCAUGUAGGAUCAGCCUCUUUAAUUUCAGCCAAAGAGCAUGGAAAGUUUGUCUUUCUUUGUUUCUAUUAUGGAAUUCUGUGGCCUCCUUUUCUUCAGAUCGAAUGAAUAUCUAGUAUUUGUGCUCAUCUUGCAUGGAUGGAGACUGACUGCAGAACAUUAAGAAAGAGUAAGGGCAAUUUUACAGUUCCUCAUCAGUUUGGUGUAAGAUUGAUUUCUGAAGCAUAAUGGGCCUAAGAGCCUUGAGUGUAGGACCAGCCUCUUUAAUUUCAGCGAAAGAGUGGAAAAUUUUUCUUUGUUUGCUUCUAUUAUGGAAUGCUGCGGCCUCCUUUUCUUCAGAUGGAAUGAAUAGCUGGUAUUUGUUCUCCAACAGAUUAUAUUCUCUUGAGGCUUCAAGUUGUCCCUUUUAUCUAGUGAGGGUACUCAACUAAUUAAUAUACUAUGUCAUGUAGUAUAUUAUAUGAAUAACUUUUCCCUUUCAACUUUGUGAUUGCAUCGCUUCUUCCUGAUACUUGAAGUCUUACACAUUAGCAAGAAUCCUUAACAUCCUCGGUUAAGUUGAAAAUUAGCUUUGUACCCAUGAUAUGCCCCCCUUUCCAUCUUUGUUGUUUUCCUUGGAUCCUUGGUUUAAUUACACUAAUAUUUUGCUUACAAUGCCCAAUUGGUAAAAGCAUAUACUUAAACCACUGUGAGUAACCGUGUCUUUAGUAGCUAUUCAUUUUGAUAGCUUACCUGGACCACAGGUCCACAGUGGUGCUGUUUUGGGCUUUCUCUUGGUUGCUUAAGUCAAAUUGGACAAAAUUUUAGGAUUCUUUGUUUGUGUUUUUUUCUCUCUCAGUUCCUUGCCAAAUCCGCAAUUGUUGACCAGGAUUGAUCCAAAUGGAGCUUUGCUUUGACUUAGGUGAGUGAGUACGAGUUCUAAUUGUUCCAAAUACAUUGUUGUUUAUGCUGUCUGUUGUUUUUUCUGAUUCUGUCCACCCCGCCUUUCUGGUGUUUUUCUUGCUCUUUGGUUUUGCCCUUACAAGAGUGAGUGCCUUUUUGCCUCAUCAAGAUUCCUGUGAAGAGGUUUUGGUUUGUGAUUUGUAUUUUAUUACCCUUCAAUAUUGCAUUUCUUACCUUUACAAAUUGUGGUUCUUCUUCUUACAUGCUCAUCGGAAGAGAUGGAUUAUAUUUUGCUUUGACAACCAAAACAAAUGGUCAAACACCAAAUGAAAAACAAAUGCCAAAAGCGGCAAGGGAGGAAGUGUCUUCUAGGUCAGAUAUGAAUGAAGAUUCAAUAACUCCUAUGAGCAUACUAAUCACAUGAGAAUUGCCACAUGGGGUUAUUAUACAUAUUUCAUGUACAUGUUUGCUUUUAAGACUUAUUGGACCUGCUAACCUGUGGCUUCUAACCUGUGAUGGAUGUACAAUAUGCUGGUCAUGUGAUGUUGUUGUGUCAUUGGGUAUAUUGUGGUUGGUUUGGUAGGAAGGAGAGAUGUGUCGUGCAAUUUGGAAAAUGAUGUUACAAGGAUGAGUGCUUGGUGGAGGUACUAUUUAUUGAGUGUGUUUAGAGACUUUAAGCUAAUUCUAGUUUUGUUAUUAAAUGCAUGAAAUCAAAUGUGCAGAGAAAGGAGUGAAUAAACUUACGUCCUUGCUAAUUGCAUAUUUUGUUGGCCGACAUGAAUGAAUGUGCUUUAGACCAUCCCAAUAGGAAUUAUACCUGCAUUUCUGUUAUUAAAUUUUGGUUGAUAAGGCUUCCCAUGGAACAAUUGCUUCCCUCACUUGGGCUGUUUUAGACAAAUUUAUCAGCAAAAUAAGGCUGAUGUUAUGAAGCUCAUUGAUUUGAUGUUUUCUUACAGAGUAGCAUGGCCUUUCUAUUAAUGCAAGUAUAGCUUGAUCAGGAGACAGUCCAAAGGCUGAUUUUGUUUAUGGGAGUAUCCAUCCUGAUUCAGAGGUUGCUGAUAAUAUCAUUUGGAGAACUUCUCCUACUAUUGAUGUGGAUUCCAUCAAAUCGUUCAGAGAUACGAAGCUGCUGCGUGUUCUUCUUAGCUGUAGUCUAAGUUGAAUUGCAACUCUUUUUUUAGGUCAAGCAUGAUCAGAGAACCAGCUGGAUAUUUUUGUUGGAAGAAGAGACUUCGUAGGGCGAUCCUACCAUAUCUAUGAUAAUCAUCUAAGUUGGUUGUACCUCUUUUUUCUUUUCUUUUUGAACCAUAUACCAACUUGGUUGCUAAUGUCAUGUUUUGUUUUCUGUUGUAA